CGUGGGUAACCUGCCCAAGAGAUCGGGAUAACACCUGGAAACAGAUGCUAAUACCGGAUAACAACAGAUGAUGCCUAUCAACUGUUUUAAAAGAUGGUUCUGCUAUCACUCUUGGAUGGACCUGCGGUGCAUUAGCUAGUUGGUAGGGUAACGGCCUACCAGGGCGAUGAUGCAUAGCCGAGUUGAGAGACUGAUCGGCCACAUUGGGACUGAGACACGGCCCAAACUCCUACGGGAGGCAGCAGGG
This 247-nucleotide ribosomal RNA is filed under the name uncultured Lactobacillus sp. RNAcentral's name for it is "partial 16S ribosomal RNA". It matches the Rfam family "Bacterial small subunit ribosomal RNA", at positions 116 to 354 of the family's 1533-position model. The record is from RNAcentral. Lineage: Bacteria; Bacillati; Bacillota; Bacilli; Lactobacillales; Lactobacillaceae.